Molecule: ribosomal RNA, 302 nt
Filed under: uncultured bacterium
Lineage: Bacteria
Description: bacterial SSU rRNA
Rfam family: Bacterial small subunit ribosomal RNA
Source: RNAcentral
GAUGAACGCUAGCUACAGGGCUUAACGACAAGUGCAAGUCGAGGGGUCUGCUUCGGCAGACGACCGGCGCACGGGUGAGUAACGCGUAUCCAACCUGCCCUUCUCAUUGGGAUAGCCUUUCGAAAGAGAGAUUAAUACCGAAUAACAUAGUAAAGUUGCAUGAUCAUACUAUGAAAGCUCCGGCGGAGAAGGAUGGGGAUGCGUUCCAUUAAGUAGUAGGCGGGGUAACAGCCCACCUAGCCGACGAUGGAUAGGGGUUCUGAGAGGAAGGUCCCCCACACUGGAACUGAGACACGGUCCAG